AUGCAUUUAUAAGUUAAUGCGUAAUUCAAAGCCCAUUUUUAGGUUGACUCCAAUUUUCGUGGGAGGAGAAAGAUGAAUCAGCCAUUGUUCUCUUACAAAUUCGCCUUCGUCUUCUCCCUCUCUUUCGCCGCUUCAUAUACUGCCACUUCCACUGUUACAUUCACUCCUCCUUACUCUUUCCGCAAGCUCAAGCUCCGUUCCUCUGCCUCGCCGCCGGAAUCCGCCGUACCCAAGGCCUCAGUCGCCGAUUUGCUCGCUCUGUUGGGCCCACCUCAACAAGCCUCAGCUGUAAAUUCUCAAGAGGCCCGCCAGCUCCGCUCUUGCCUCAAAUUCCUCGUCCCUUUCUCUCCGAUUUCUCAGACUCCAAAUAGACGCUCGUUGAGUUCUAAAUUGAGUAAUCGAAGGAGUGUAAUCGAAGAGAAUGAGCUUAUUUGGUGGCCUCCGGCGCCGGUGAUGGAGCUGGCUCGCCUCGCCGUUGACUCUGGCGGUGAUCCUAGUUCUAUUCAUUGGACUCUUGAUCCAGCGGUCAUCCCUGUUCCAGACAUUGAAGGAUCAAAGGAAGACCGAUGUGAACUUACUAGAACUCCUUAUGGGAGAGUUUUCAUUAAUGAGGAGAUAAAUUCAUACCUUGAGUUUUUGUUUGAAAUGGUUGUUGCUCGGGGACCCAGUGUAGGGCUAAAUACAUCAUUGUCGCGAUUUGACUUCUUUCAUGGUCAUGUCUUUCUUGCCAGAGAGUCUGGAAGGCUUGGGAUUUUGUUCCAUGCUAAGGAGUAUCCAGCAUAUGAUAAGGAAAUCUUCCCUUACAACAUGGGCUACUGCCAAAUAGGAUCUAAUGUCUCUUAUGAUGAUUCGAUGAAUUUGCGGAACAUAUUGUGGCUAGCGCCAUUAGCUAGCAACUCUACAAAAGAAUGGUUAGCACCAGGAGUCCUAGUUGUCUUGGAUGCACAUCCAACUGGAGUCAUAUACAAGGACCUCAUACCUGAGUACGUACACAUUGCCAGGACCCUCUAUGAAGAUGAUUUUGGGCAAGUUGCCUUUGAUGUUAACUACCUAAACAUUGGAGGUGAAACACCCAAAUACCAAAUUUUCAUUUGCUGACCUCUUCUGAAGGUUCAGGUGUCAGCUUUCAGUUUUACAAAGUGAGAUCCAUAUUAUUUGUAGCAUUACUAUCAAUAUUUGAUUCUAGCGCAUUCAAAUGGAGGGUUGCUUGGAAAAGGACUGUGACUGACGAAGAUUUUACUGUUGGAACUGAAAGUUUUGAGUCCUUUAGCUUGUGAUUGGCCACUGUUUAUGGCAGAUUAUCCUUUCUUGAUUACUAUCAAAGCUUGGACAACGAAACAAUGAAUGAAUAACUAGAAAACGUCAUCCUUCUAAAGGGCUUACACUUUACGUUGUCUCUUAGAAGUAUUUUUUUCCUUAGCUUUUGUGUACUGAUUUUAUGCCUGUGGUUGUAAAGCCUUAAAGCUUGUUUGGAUGGUCGUUACUUGUUACCUAUUGUAUUGUAUCGUAUUGUUACAUAAAUGCAAUGUUUCUUUUGAUUGUUACUUA
RNA transcript from Nicotiana attenuata, 1548 nucleotides. RefSeq lists it as uncharacterized. NCBI's taxonomy places the organism in Eukaryota, Viridiplantae, Streptophyta, Magnoliopsida, Solanales, Solanaceae. The transcript has 8 exons. The record is from RefSeq and is a predicted model, not a curated record.